This 293-nucleotide ribosomal RNA is filed under the name uncultured bacterium. RNAcentral's name for it is "partial 16S ribosomal RNA". It matches the Rfam family "Bacterial small subunit ribosomal RNA", at positions 505 to 796 of the family's 1533-position model. The record is from RNAcentral.
GUGCCAGCAGCCGCGGUAAUACGUAGGCAGCGAGCGUUGUUCGGAGUUACUGGGCGUAAAGGGUGUGUAGGCGGUUGUUUAAGUUUGGUGUGAAAUCUCCCGGCUCAACUGGGAGGGUGCGCCGAAUACUGAAUGACUUGGAGUGCGGGAGAGGUGAGUGGAAUUCCUGGUGUAGCGGUGAAAUGCGUAGAUAUCAGGAGGAACACCGGUGGUGUAGACGGCUCACUGGACCGUAACUGACGCUGAGACACGAAAGCGUGGGUAGCAAACAGGAUUAGAUACCCUGGUAGUCC